UACGUAGGGGGCGAGCGUUGUCCGGAAUGACUGGGCGUAAAGGGCGUGCAGGCGGCUAUAUAAGUCUGGAGUGAAAGUCCUGCUUUCAAGGUGGGAAUUGCUUUGGAGACUGUAGAGCUUGAGUGCGGAAGAGGUAAGUGGAAUUCCCAGUGUAGCGGUGAAAUGCGUAGAGAUUGGGAGGAACACCAGUGGCGAAGGCGACUUACUGGGCCGUAACUGACGCUGAGGCGCGAAAGCGUGGGGUGCGAAC
Molecule: ribosomal RNA, 250 nt
Filed under: uncultured prokaryote
Description: partial 16S ribosomal RNA
Rfam family: Bacterial small subunit ribosomal RNA
Source: RNAcentral